This 438-nucleotide long non-coding RNA is filed under the name Solanum tuberosum (potato). Its description in RNAcentral is "long non-coding RNA (STUB_LNC000944)". The record is from RNAcentral. Lineage: Eukaryota; Viridiplantae; Streptophyta; Magnoliopsida; Solanales; Solanaceae.
UGGUUGAGGGGUUCAAAACUCACCUUAAGGAUCGAAUAUUAAAUCUUAGGCAGUACAACUCUUUUUUUUUCUUCCAAACCCCCUAUUAAUGUAAAUCCUGAAUCCAUCACUGAUCCAUGUGAAUCCACUUGGAUAGAAUGUAUCUAGAACUAAUUACACCUAACUUUGACCAUGUAUCCUACAUACAUCAAAAUCUGGUAAAAUAGGUAGUAUUGCAAACUAGAUUAGUGAGAUUUAUGUAAGUUCCCGAUAAUAAUAAUAAUAGUUGGGACUUACUUGAACCCUGAGGUAAUUGUUUUGUGAAUCAAGAGCUUGAAAAACAGUAGAAAGGUAAUAAUCAUUCAUGUAAGAACUUGCUGCACUUCUCAUUUCCCAUAAAGGUAUUGUCUCUUCUGCUGUAUAGUUUAGCAAACUCUGAAUUAGUGCCAGUGCCUAAUG